RNAcentral lists this ribosomal RNA (306 nucleotides) under uncultured bacterium. Its description in RNAcentral is "partial 16S ribosomal RNA". It matches the Rfam family "Bacterial small subunit ribosomal RNA", at positions 507 to 809 of the family's 1533-position model. The record is from RNAcentral.
GACAGCAGUAGCCGCGGUAAUACGUAGGUGGCAAGCGUUGUCCGGAAUUAUUGGGCGUAAAGGGCUCGCAGGCGGUUUCUUAAGUCUGAUGUGAAAGCCCCCGGCUCAACCGGGGAGGGUCAUUGGAAACUGGGAAACUUGAGUGCAGAAGAGGAGAGUGGAAUUCCACGUGUAGCGGUGAAAUGCGUAGAGAUGUAGAGGAACACCAGUGGCGAAGGCGACUCUCUGGUCUGUAGCUGACGCUGAGGAGCGAAAGCGUGGGGAGCGAACAGGAUUAGAUACCCCUGUAGUCCCUGUCUCUUAUAA